CCGAAGGUCGUGGUGCCAAAACCCCCCAGCGGAAAAAUGGCCAAAAAACGGGUGGGCUAUAGCCUUGGUGGGGGGCGCGGGCGAAGUUCGUCCGCCGGACUCGGAAUUGGGCGAGACUUUGCGAGGGGCCUCGGGGUGCCCGCGGGAAGUCGCGGGCACAGCCGUGCCCAAAAAUAAGCGCCCGAAGGUCGUGGUGCCAAUACACCCCAGCGGAAAAAUGGCCAUAAAAUGGGUGGGCUAUAGCCUUGGUGGGGGGCGCUGGCGAAGUUCGUCCGCCGGAAU
RNAcentral lists this long non-coding RNA (282 nucleotides) under Citrus x clementina. RNAcentral's name for it is "Citrus clementina (C. clementina) long non-coding RNA (CCLE_LNC004933)". Lineage: Eukaryota; Viridiplantae; Streptophyta; Magnoliopsida; Sapindales; Rutaceae. The record is from RNAcentral.